AUGUUCGAUGGAAUGGCCGAGCGGGACGUGGUCUCCUGGACAGCUCUCAUGUCCGGGUACUCUGGCGCCGGCCGACCCCGCCUCCGCCUGGCUGUUUCCCUCUUCCAUGAUAUGUGUCACAGAGGUGUGCCACCAAAUGCCUUCACCUUCUCGACUGCCGUCAGCGCGCGCGCACGCCUUGCUGAUGCUGGACUUGGCCGGAAAGUGCAUGCCCGUGCUGAGGUUGAACGCUACGCGUCUGACACUGUCGUUGCCACCGUGCUCAUCGACAUGUAUGGCAAGGCUGGAAAUGUGAAGAGUGCACGUGCAGUGUUUGAUGGUAUGGCUGCUCUGGCGAGGAAUGCGGUGUCACGGGGCUCGAUGCUGUCUGUAUAUGCACAGAAUGUGCUUGGGUGUGAGGCCAUCCAAUUUUUUGCCGAGUUCAGAACUGAAAGCAAUUUCAUGGCGCCCAACUACUUCAUGCUGUCAAGUGUUGUGAAUGCGUGUGCAGGCAUUGGGCGGCUUGGGGUUGGCAAGUCUGCACGGAACAGUAAACCAGCCAAGAUGCACAACAAACAAUAUCAACUGCUGCUGGCUGCUCCGCACGCAGGUAGGAGCAAACUUAAUUACACAACCAAGCGGCGUACUAUCGGUCCUAAAUUCUCGUUCGUGAGCACAUUCCCAGUGGAGCUCCAAAAUCUGCAGCUUAACAUUCAGAUGGCCCCUUCCAUUGAAGUUAAUUCAAGUCUGCAGGUUAUCCUCUUCUUCUUCGCAGGGAUCCGCCGCUACAGCAUCUCGUCUGUUCUCAAGGCCCUCCUCUGGCUGGUGUAUCUGUCUGCCGAUGUCGUUGCAACGUACGCCCUGGGGAACAUGUCCUCGUCGUUGACGAAAAAAUCGUCCGGCGAGCACCAGCUGGUGGCGUUCUGGGCGCCAUUCCUCCUGCUGCACCUUGGUGGCCAGGAUACCAUCACCGCUUACGCCCUGGAGGACAAUGAACUCUGGCGGCGCCAUCUGUUAAAUAUGUUUCUGCAGGUCGCCGGCACCGCGUAUGUGCUCUACAAGUACAUCAUUGCAGGCGGGGCGACCUUUAUCCCCGCCGCUAUGUUGGUUUUGGCCACCGGAUUUAUCAAGUACGGCGAGAGGAUAUGGGCACUGAAGUGUGCAAGCAAGGGUUCCAAAGGGCCAAGUGGCUCUGUUCUCUUUGCCGGAAAGAAGAAAGAAAGUUCUGUUAUCUUUGCCGGAAAGAAGAAAGAAAGCUCUGUCCUCUUUGCCAUAAAGAAAAAAAUAAGCCGUGUCCUGAAGUACAUAUUUUUUUGUUUUAUUACCAUGCCUGGGCAAGACACGGAAAUGAACCUUGGAGAUUUUGAAGGGCCCAUGCAAUCAGUUGAUGAAACAAUAGUAGAUUGCUUCACCAAACACAAACAGUUUAGAAUUUAUGCAUUUAUUGUGAUGGCAGCACAUGCGUUGCGCUAUGCACUUGUCAAGCCUUUAAUCAUUGACAGGAAUGAGGCAUUCAUAGAUUGGAGUGGUACCACAAUUGGACUACUAAAGGGCCAUGCGGAAGAAUAUCCACGGGAGCUGUACAAGGCAAUAGAGGUGGAGCUAGCCCUUAUGUAUGACAUGCUGUAUACCAAGGCACAAGUGAUCCACACAUGGUAUGGCUACUGCAUCCGUGCUAUUUCCCUUGUGUCUUGCUUCACCGCUCUUGUGUUCUUCACAAAAGGCAAAAGUGAUGGUUACAGCACACCCGAUAUUGUAAUCACUUUUGCUCUACUGGGCGGAGCUUGUGCACUGGAGGUUGCAUCUGUUUUCAAGGCGAUUGGAUCGACCUGGACAUAUGCCACCUUGAAAGGGUACGGAUGGAAGUGGCUGGCCAAUGCGAUUCUGUUUGCACGCUACCAUCUCCUCGUCGUCAAGGAUGGAAGGUGGUCCAAUUCUGUCGGGCAGUAUAACUUCAUAUCCUUCUGUGCCAGGGAUGAGACCGAGCUCAGGGGAAGAAUAGCCAAAUGGAUUAGGCUUCGGGAAUUGUGGAACAAAGCUCACUACACCAAACAUGCCAAGCUUUCACCUGCCGUCAAGGAGUUUGUAUGGGACUUGCUCAGAGGUGCAAAGUCUGAUAUGGUACAAAUUGAAGAUGUGGCCAUCCGGAAUGGGUACUGGGCUCGCAGGUUAACGGGCUUCCAACAGCUCAAUUGGAGCCUGAGUUUUGAAUUUCAGAAGAGCGUGCUUAUUUGGCAUUUAGCAACAAGCACCUUCCUCAAUGUCCCUGCCGUUAAAUCUCAACUGGCCAACGAGGAUGAGGAAAUGGCUAAAGCAGUCAAUACUCUCUCCGAGUACAUGAUGUACCUCCUCAUCGAGCACCCUGAUAUUCUGCCCAUGAAAGCAGCUGUCCGAAACCUGUUUCGCCUAACCUCCACCUCUUAUGCUGAGGAUUUUUCUGGAGAUAAUGUGGGUACGCCUCACCAGAUAAUUAUGGAUUACAUGAAACGACGUGUUGGGUAUAUACGAGAACUAUAUGAUGAUUUGACGCAAGACAGAUGGGAUGCUUACCCGGGCGAAGCUGUGCUGGUGAAAGCAUGCAGCCUUGCUCACACAAUGCUCCGCAUGGAGUUGGAGCUCACACAUAAGCUGGUAAUACUCGGAACAGUGUGGGUGGAGAUGUUGUGCUACGCAGCAACCAAUGCAACUGGGGGAUUCCACGCCAGGCAGCUGAGCAAUGGUGGCGAGUUUCUCACCCACAUCCUGCUCCUCACCAAAUAUUGUGCUGCUAUGCCCAACAUAGCAAAUCCGUAUGUCAGAGCAGCUGACGAAACUGUGGAGUAUAGAUCUGACGAGAUCCAGGUAUGGUGA
Molecule: ribosomal RNA, 2829 nt
Filed under: Triticum aestivum (bread wheat)
Lineage: Eukaryota; Viridiplantae; Streptophyta; Magnoliopsida; Poales; Poaceae
Description: partial small subunit ribosomal RNA
Source: RNAcentral